Molecule: ribosomal RNA, 492 nt
Filed under: uncultured bacterium
Lineage: Bacteria
Description: bacterial SSU rRNA
Rfam family: Bacterial small subunit ribosomal RNA
Source: RNAcentral
AGUGAACGCUGGCGGCAGGCCUAAUACAUGCAAGUCGAACGGCAGCACAGCAGAGCUUGCUCUGUGGGUGGCGAGUGGCGGACGGGUGAGGAAUACAUGGGAAUCUGCCCAGUCGUGGGGGAUAACGUAUGGAAGCGUACGCUAAUACCGCAUGCGCCCUACGGGGGAAAGUCGGGGACCGCAAGGCCUGGCGCGAUUGGAUGAGCCCAUGUUCGAUUAGCUAGUUGGCGGGGUAAAGGCCCACCAAGGCGACGAUCGAUAGCUGGUCUGAGAGGAUGAUCAGCCACACUGGAACUGAGACACGGUCCAGACUCCUACGGGAGGCAGCAGUAGGGAAUAUUGGACAAUGGGGGCAACCCUGAUCCAGCCAUGCCGCGUGAGUGAAGAAGGCCCUCGGGUUGUAAAGCUCUUUUGUCCGGAAAGAAAAGCAAUCGGUUAAUACCCGGUUGUUCUGACGGUACCGGAAGAAUAAGCACCGGCUAACUUCGUGCC